This 542-nucleotide ribosomal RNA is filed under the name Agaricomycotina sp. RS. RNAcentral's name for it is "LSU rRNA". It matches the Rfam family "Eukaryotic large subunit ribosomal RNA", at positions 90 to 621 of the family's 3401-position model. The record is from RNAcentral. Lineage: Eukaryota; Fungi; Basidiomycota.
CGAGUGAACCGGGAUGAGCUCAAAUUUGAAAUCUGGCGUCUUUCAGGCGUCCGAGUUGUAAUCUAUAGAGGCGUUUUCCGCGCCGGACCGCGUCCAAGUCUCUUGGAAUAGAGUAUCAAAGAGGGUGACAAUCCCGUACUUGACGCGACAACCGGUGCUCUGUGAUACGUUCUCAAUGAGUCGAGUUGUUUGGGAAUGCAGCUCUAAAUGGGUGGUAAAUUCCAUCUAAGGCUAAAUAUUGGCGAGAGACCGAUAGCGAACAAGUACCGUGAGGGAAAGAUGAAAAGCACUUUGGAAAGAGAGUUAAACAGCACGUGAAAUUGUUAAAAGGGAAACGAUUGAAGUCAGUCGUGUGAGGGGUAUUCAGCCGUCUCUGGCGGUGUAUUUGCCUCUCACGGGUCAACAUCAGUUUGAUCCGGUAGAAAAAGGCGGGAGGAAGGUGGCACCCUCGGGUGUGUUAUAGCCUCCUGUCAUAUGUGCCGGACCAGACUGAGGAACGCAGCUUGCAGCAAUGCCGGGAUUCGUCCACGUACAAGCUUAGG